CUUUUCAAAUUUAAUGCAUCCUGGGAACAUGCCGUUCAGGAUUUUGGCAUGGGAACUUCAAACGAAGUUGGUAAGGGAGGCAAAAUGCGUAAGUGGAAACUUUGAGGAAGCUGGCAGCCUGGCUGGAAGUCAGUCUUUUCGUUCGCUCCACCCCCUCUCAUGAGUUCAAUGAAUUCUCCAACUUCCUCACAAUGGCGAGAGGCAACCCAGUGGAGUCCUGGUCAACAGUGUGAGCACUGCUGUGAUGUUUGCUGCUUCUGCUUCCUGCAAGGCCCCAUGUUCUCCCUCCCCUCACCUGCUAGACUGAAGCAGUGUGUGCAGCAGAGGACUCCAAAGCCCUCACCAAGAAAUGGCAAAGCCCUGGGAUACGAAGGCCAAGGUCCCUGAGCAACUGUUGGCAGUAG
This 404-nucleotide long non-coding RNA is filed under the name Cricetulus griseus (Chinese hamster). Its description in RNAcentral is "lncRNA (ENSCGRG00000025277.1)". The record is from RNAcentral. Lineage: Eukaryota; Metazoa; Chordata; Mammalia; Rodentia; Cricetidae.